RNAcentral lists this ribosomal RNA (439 nucleotides) under uncultured bacterium. RNAcentral describes it as "bacterial SSU rRNA". It matches the Rfam family "Bacterial small subunit ribosomal RNA", at positions 355 to 786 of the family's 1533-position model. The record is from RNAcentral.
UGGGGAAUCUUGGGCAAUGGCCGAAAGGCUGACCCAGCGACGCCGCGUGCGGGAUGACGCUUUUCGGAGUGUAAACCGCUGUCAGGGGGGACGAAGUCUUCGGAUGCGAACAGUGUCCGGAGCUGACGGUACCUCCAGAGGAAGCACCGGCUAACUCCGUGCCAGCAGCCGCGGUAAUACGGAGGGGGCUAGCGUUGUUCGGAAUUACUGGGCGUAAAGGGCGCGUAGGCGGCCCGCCAAGUCCGGCGUGAAAGUCCUGGGCUCAACCCGGGGACGGCGCUGGAGACUGGCGGGCUGGAGUCCGGGAGAGGGUGGCGGAAUUCCCAGUGUAGAGGUGAAAUUCGUAGAUAUUGGGAAGAACACCGGUGGCGAAGGCGGCCACCUGGCCCGGGACUGACGCUGAGGCGCGAAAGCGUGGGGAGCAACAGGAUUAGAUACC